UGUGGCCCAGCCGCUAGAGGCUGCGGUAAGGUGGCUGUAAAUGGCGGCGAGAACAGCCCCAGAACCGGGAUUGUACCGGGAAUCCGGUACCCGCCCAGCGGAGCUCUGACAAACGCUGCCAGGGUGAACCCAGCAGCCACAGCUUCCCUCUGGGGGAGCUCCCAGUGUUGUCCCUCAAGUGGGAUUGUUUACCCGGUGUGCAACAGCAACCGCUGGUUGAAAAGUAGAACCCAAGGGGAAGAAAAGACACUGACUGCCAGCUUUGUGAAGGAACCUGUGUUUCUGAGCCUGUCUUGGAAAAUUUGACAUGUGGUAUGUUCCUGUUGGUGAUGUCAAACAUGAGAGGGACUUCAAUUGCCAUGUGCUAGAUGAGUUACAAUAAUAUUUCAACUGUUGCACACCCCUCCUCUACCAAAAUAUGCCGGGGCAUUACUUCGUAGUUCCUGGAUAGUGCAGUUUUUCAGAUUUUGAGCUGGUGCAAAACCUGUUGAAACCAACAGACUUCAUUAGUUUUUGAGGCCAGCUGCUUAUGGCUUGUUGGCAUGGCGUGAGGGAAGGACAGAAACUAUAGGGACUGUACAGAGCAUGGACAGACAUAGGAGGGGGAAAAAGAAAGCAUAUGGUCAAUAAACUGUUAAAAUUAGAUGAUUUACAUAAAAAGCUAUCUGAAAAUAGAAAACUGAAUCUACGUCCUGAACAGUGAUCAUACAGAGAAGAAAAAAGAAGGGUCAGUUUACUUACGUAUAGCUUUAGAAGUAAGAUGCUGCUGCUACAUUCUCCUUCUACUCUGCCAGUGUAAUGAAGAGUGAAGCACAUCCCUCGCAGCUGAGUCCUUCCACCUUCUUCCAAGCUGUGAGUCCCUCUUUCUUACCCACGAUCACAGUAAGCUGUCACAACACACAGAACACAAAUAGUUGUGAGGAGCUACACACACUCCACAAAGCAGAUGGCCUUUUCUUGAGAUACGGCCCCAGCUGGUUCAGCUGAGCUCAGCCUCUCCAACUUCACUGCACCUACAAUAACUUAUAUCAAGUUCAUGUGACUGUUACAAAAACCUGCUUAUGCUGUCUUGGACAUUAACAGAAAUCCUGCUCAGCUUUUUGCAGUCCCUAUACUGUGACUCUCUUGGUCAGCAGCACAGCAGGAGGCCAAGAUCUCCUUUAUCCCAUGCAGUAUGCUUGAUAUUCCAAUAUUGCAGCUUAUAUUCUGAUUUUAUACAUGCACUGAUUUAAAUAGAAGAGGCACACACAUAUAUAGGAAAGAGAAAUUAGAUGAUACAGUACUUCAGUGCUGCUGUGAACAUUCAUGUAGUUGCAUCAUGUUUUGUCUAGGUGGCUUCUGAUCAAACAUUAUACAUGCUGAGGAGGCAAAUGAUUCACAUGUUUUGUUAAGUUCCAAGCAAAGUACCUCUUCUCCUCCACUAUGUUAUUUUCACAAAUAUUCUUUGAAAGCAUUGUGAGAAACUUAAUUUUUUUUUUUGAUUCUACAUAAAUUUUCAAGUUACCUCUCAUAAAACAGUGGAGCUCCUAAGUCAUAGAAACACUUGCAGUAGAAGCAGCACGACUUUCGGCGUAGCAAUCUGGAAGGAAUCUUCAGGUGUGGACACAUUUUUCCCAGAGGAAGAAUACACAGUCCAAAACGAACCAGCACAUCAAAGGAGAAUGCUGGGCUGUUGAGAAGAAAACAUUGAUGGAAAAGAAACUAUUAAAAAAGAACUGCAGGAAUCUAGGAGAGAAGAGGUUUCACUGCCAGAACAAUUAUCAGUUAAGACCCUUGUAGUUCCUCAUGAAGUGCCAUUUGUAGAAAUGGGGGAGUCACUAUUGGAUUGCAUUAUUAAAGAAUCCCCCACAAAAGAUCCGUCUUAUUUUCUCACUCAGCCCCAUGGCUCUCCAUUCAAGAUAUAUCCAGGUUUUGGUACUAAGAAACACUUUUCUGGAGAGGGUAAUUUGAACUUGGCUAGCAAAACUCACAGUCCAGAAGAAGUCAUGGAAACGUUGGAAGCUGAUAAGGACUUUUUACUCCAGCAUUCCAAGAUAUCACUUGCUCACAAGGAAGACUAUAAACAAGGAGAUAGAAGCAAUAAAGGGAUUCUCUCCACUUAAAGAAGGGGGAGGCCCUGUCCAAGUCCUUAUGAAGCAUCCUCAGAUAUGUGCGGAACAAAAUAUUCCAAUUACCAUUUGGAAAAAUUAUCAUUUCAGGAGACAGUUAUGAACCUUAGAGGGGUCAUCAAGGAGCUAGAGGAGGCUCAGCAAUAACAAACCCAAAUCACAGAUCUUCAGUGUGAUGAUAUGGUUCUGAGGAAGGCUAAAGAUAGGGGAAAACUACUGUUUAAUGAAGAGAAUUUAGGUCUAGAUGAUGUGACUAAGAGGAUGAAGUAGAAUCAGAAGAAACAGCCAACACAGAUUAUUGAUUCUUACUAUGAAACCAUUUCUCUGAAGACCAAUUUAAAGAGUUAAAGCCAAAAAACAUCCAGCAACAGCAUUUGGGGAAAAAAAUAAGCAGAUUAAAGGAGGAUACUGAAGAUUGAAAUGAAACAAAAGGUAAAUUCAUGAAGGAGAAAAAUGAGGCUAAGAGAUGGCUGACAGUCACACAGGGAACUCUCUUUAGUGCGAUCAAGUGUAUUGAGGGUGCCGAGACAGAAAAAAAAGCCCUUCUGAAGCAUGUGGAAGAACUUAAAUCUGCAUAUUAUCUCCUUCAAAUAAAGCAUGAGACAGAAGUGAAGACCAGGUUUAGGAGACAGUGAU
Long non-coding RNA from Athene cunicularia (burrowing owl), 2744 nucleotides. RefSeq lists it as uncharacterized. The record is from RefSeq and is a predicted model, not a curated record. The transcript is spliced from 3 exons. Lineage: Eukaryota; Metazoa; Chordata; Aves; Strigiformes; Strigidae.